This 400-nucleotide ribosomal RNA is filed under the name phytoplankton environmental sample. RNAcentral's name for it is "partial small subunit ribosomal RNA". It matches the Rfam family "Eukaryotic small subunit ribosomal RNA", at positions 587 to 993 of the family's 1831-position model. The record is from RNAcentral.
AGCUCCAAUAGCGUAUAUUAAAGUUGUUGCAGUUAAAAAGCUCGUAGUUGAAUUCCAAACGUGGAUUGGCUGGUUUAUCCUUUGGAUGUUACUGGCGAUCCUGUUUAGAAAGUCGUGAACUUUUGAUGAUCUUAAUCGAUUGUCUUUUGUGACCGGCAUGUUUACUUUGAAAAAAUUGGAGUGCUUAAAGCAGGCUCAUGCCUGAACAGUGUUGCAUGGAAUAAUGAAAUAAGACUUCGGUCUUAUUUUGUUGGUUUUAGAGAUCGAAGUAAUGAUUAAAAGGAACUGACGGGGGCAUCUGUAUACCAGGGUUAGAGGUGAAAUUCUUAGAUCCUUGGUAGACAAACUACUGCGAAAGCAUUUGUCAAGAAUGUUUUCAUUAAUCAAGAACGAAAGUAGG